Molecule: long non-coding RNA, 871 nt
Organism: Olea europaea var. sylvestris
Lineage: Eukaryota; Viridiplantae; Streptophyta; Magnoliopsida; Lamiales; Oleaceae
Exons: 2
Source: RefSeq, a predicted model, not a curated record
GCCCUCGGGGUGUGCUAGACAUAUAGAAUGGUUAUUUCACAAAGCCUUCACAGAAUGACGUAUCAUUUGCUUGAAGAACAAAUUUUCUCUAAUAACGAAAGGAAACAACAAUAAAGGAAACCAAAAUUCUCACCAUUUAGAACCCUAAAAAUCACUUCCACCUUUGCCUGGCCGAAAUCCACCUCCGACCGACCGAUCGACGAGUUGCCUCUGUGAAGACCACCUUCGGCAGCCCGAUCGACGAAACCCAAUUUAGCAAAAUCCACAUUCGACAGCCUGUCUUGCUUCCCCUUUUCGUGGAAUCGGAACAUCGUAACCAUCUCUUCCCCAUUUUCAGUCUGUGGAGUAGUGUCCACCCAGUAUCUGAUAUCUUUUACCUUCAGAUGAGGGGGAGGAAUGUUGGUGUCUGUCACGGCUAUAGAAGUACGGACCACUUCUUCCUGAAUUGUCUGAUAAAACAACGAUGCUCAUGGUGUACACACGGACUGCAAAAAUGUUUUGAAGUUGAAAGGGAGACAAAGAACAAAUGGUGAUUAUUCAAAACAUGUAGUGUUAACUGUGGGUAUUUUGAUUGGUUCGUAAAUGAAAAAUCAAGCGGUGAAUCUAGCACGACUAAUGAAGCAGUGAAUCCCGAAGUCAUCCAGGAAGCUGAAGAUUUGCUGACCAUGUUCAACAAUCUAGCUAGAAAAGUGCCGAGGUGAAUGAGAAUGAAGAAGGGAAGGGCCGCGCUUCAUAGGUGAUAGGCAAAACUGAUAUUUUUCAAACAUGUUUUUGCUUGGUGUUUGCUAUCGAAAAACGUAUGUAAAUUAUGGUUUUGUAAUUAGAUGUUUGACUUAAUGUUCGGUAGAAAUAGUUCUUGUUGCCAUAUCAA